This is a long non-coding RNA of Rosa rugosa (rugosa rose), 655 nucleotides long. RefSeq lists it as uncharacterized. NCBI's taxonomy places the organism in Eukaryota, Viridiplantae, Streptophyta, Magnoliopsida, Rosales, Rosaceae. The record is from RefSeq and is a predicted model, not a curated record. The transcript has 2 exons.
UAGCUUCUCCUCUACUUUUUUCAGAAGCCAGCGCUUCUUCGAUAAGCCAAAGCCGCCAAUGACCUGCUUUUAGAAGCAGGAGAUGGUUUUUGUCACUGUAGCGGUACUUACUGUAGUUUAAUGAACUUUUGGAAAUACUGAUUUCUAUCCUCUCUUCGUUUCAGCAAUUUCACAAUGCCAUGAAACCCUUCUCUUCUGUGUUCAAGUUCGAAGCCUCACAUGCAGUGCCGCUUCAUGACUCUAGUUUGAUCUCUCUCUCUCUCUCUCUGACUGCCUUCUCCUCGCCUCUCAUCCGUGUUCAAAAUCGAAGUCUCAAUCCUUGAUUGCUGGCUGCUUGGCAAUUUGAUUCAGGGUACUUGAGCAUACUUGGGUUGGAUCAACACAGCAAGAGUUGCUGCAUUAGGUGGGGCUAGUAGUACAUCCAAGAGGGGAAGGAUUCAGUGCUUCUUAUCUUAAGAAGGUUGUGUAGGAAGUGAUUUCAAACUGUAGUGGAUAAGUUCUUUCACAACUAUUUUGUACCUUUUGUUAUAAGCCAUUUGACUUGUAGAGGCUGUUGAGAUUUACAACUUACUUGUCUGAUUUUUUUUUUUUUUUCCUCUGUAUUUAUUGUGUCUAACUUUUGAGAUCCAAAGAGAAAUAAAUUUAUUAUGUUCAA